Molecule: long non-coding RNA, 6234 nt
Filed under: Oryza sativa (Asian cultivated rice)
Lineage: Eukaryota; Viridiplantae; Streptophyta; Magnoliopsida; Poales; Poaceae
Description: long non-coding RNA (OSAT_LNC000937)
Source: RNAcentral
CAGGCAGGUGAUGAUGAAUACUCCCUCAUGGUUAAUUUGAAGCGAUUUUAUGAGCUUCAGUUGUCAAAACCUGUCAAAAAUGAUGGUUUAUUUGAGGACAUGUACAGAAUCCUGAGUCAUCUAAAAGAUAUGGAUAAUGAGGUAUGAACUAUUACCUUGAUUAGCUAUUACUACUCCAGUCUCCCUUUGCAGAGUUCACUGUCGGUACUGUAUUAGCUAAUAUGUUCAUGUUUUAAAUAAUUAGGUGAAGAGCUUUCUCCUCCUUAACAUGUACCUUCAAUUAGCAUGGUGCCUGAAUGCUAUUGAUGGUGAAAACCCAUCUGAAGCUUCCAUUGACGAACUUUUAUCCAGGCAAAGCUCUCUUUUUGAAAAACUCUAUUAUUACUUGGUGGUUCUGCCUACUUAUCAGAAAGAGGGAAGGAGCACCACUAUACUUUCCUGCAGAGUAAGUCUUCUGAGUUAAACAUUGAAGAAAAGAACACAUUUUUUUGUAUUAUGUUGUAUGCUGAUCUGCAGGCUGUAUGUCUUGGCUAUGUUUAGCCCACUGACUUGAUAUUGCCUUGUUUUUUUGUAGGUCUGUGUCAUUACUGCUGAGAUGUGGUGCCUGUUUAAGAAGCCAAAAUAUUCUUCAACAAGGCUCGAGAGUUUGGGAUAUCUCCCGCAACUAGAUGUUGUCCAGAAUUUCUGGAAACUAUGUGAACAACAGCUCAACAUACCAGGUUUUGAUGUUACACAGAUUCUAUACUUCAUUCGUUGUAUAGCUUAUAAAAAUAAAUUUCUAAAUAAAACCUCAUCAUCAUGUUGGUGCUACUCUUUUAAUUGAAGUUGAUCAUGUUCAUCAACAGAUGAAAUAGAAGAUGAAGAUGCAAAUGAAGAAUAUAUUGAAGACACAAACAAGGAUGUUGUCAUGAUUGCAGCUGCAAAGCUAGUGCUAGCUGAUACAGUUUCAAAGGUCUCUGCUACGUUUUCUAACUGUAAUGAACUGUUAGGUCCUCAAGCAAUGUUUUCCUACUACAUCUUCUGUUGUACCAUAAUUUGGUCACCUUGGCAGCUUCCUAUUGUCAGACAAACUAAGUUUUCAAUUUUAUUUCUGUGUGCAGGAUUACCUGGGCCCAGAGCUUGUUUCUCACUAUGCAUCCCAUGGAACAAGUACUACAGAGAUAAUCAAACAUCUAAUCACCUCGCUUCGGAAAAAUGCUGACAACAACAUGGGUGCCUUAUUUUUCGAGGCACUGAAAAGGGUAGGUAUUUUGUCCCACCUUCAAAUGCACACAAUUAUUAUUUAUUAUAGUAACUAUUGAGUAAUUAUAUUAUGUUACUGAUUGUCGAUUAGGAAUUUACUUGUUCCAGCUUUUACAAUGUUUAACAAACUUUAAAGGAACUUCUGACUUUGUCAACCAUAUCUUGUAUUUUGGAAGUAUUUUGACUAAAGACACUUAUACUAAACUCACUUUUGUAUUAGAAACUUUUGCUUUAUCUGCUUUUAACUGAUUUUAUGUGUGUGACUUUCUUUUGUAAACUUUUCUUUAUUUUCAUCUAACUAGGGAUAUGAGCGGUAUAUGGCCCAUGUAAGUGAUGGGGAAAAUCAAACCCUCAUUGGCAAGUCUUAUUCAGAAUGCCAAGAUCUUGCUGGUCGGCUCGCGGGGUCCUAUGUUGGUGCCUCGCGCAAUAAAAACAAGUCUGAGAUCUUGAAGAUAAUCCAAGACGGUGUUUCUUUUGCAUUUGUGGACCUUCCAAAGCAAUUGUCUUUCCUCGAGGCUGCUCUACUGCCAUUUGUUUCUAAACUUCCAUCGUCAGAUAUACCAGACAUGUAUGGCAUUUACUCUUGUCAUUUAUGAUGCUUCCAUUUAUUUUAUUUAUGCACAAUUUUCAUUUAUUUCAUUGUAUGUAGCCUGAUAGAUGUACAGAAGAGGACUCAAGAUACUAAUACUAAUGAAGAUCCAAGUGCUUGGCGCCCGUACUUUACGUUUGUAGAGCAUCUACGCGAUAAGCAUGCAAAGAAUGAGGUUUUGCAGGGUAUGUUGAACUCUUCCUGAAUUUUCCCUUUUUUAUGUUACAUAACUGCAAAUCUUUCUUAUUGAAAGUAUGGCCGAUUCUAUUGUUUCCUAUCCAGAGGAAAAGGAGGAAAAACCUGUAAAGCGCAGGGGUCGGCCAAGGAAGGUUAGAGAUGUACCUGCAAGGAAUCUUUUUGAUGGACACAAGUCUAGCGAUGAAGAGUCUGUUAGUGACUCUGAUCAGCAAGGGCAUGGUGAAGACAAUGACGACGAUGACGCAGAUCAGCCUCUGAUCAACACGUUUAGGUCUUCCGCAUCCAAGCUAAGAUCACUGAAGGUUUCUCAGCAAGGAACAAGCGGUCAGAAAGGACCUUCGAGGGCAUCAGGUAAAUGGUCAAGGAUUUUGCUCUUUCCACAUCAGUCGGAUGCACUGACGAAUCUACAGCAGCAACCAUGGUUUCUUUCUCUGUUUCCAUUCUAUUUUUGUGUGGUGUUCCCAUUUUCUAAUUACAGUGUGUAUUUUCAGGAAGCAAUAGCUGAGGGCACGCACUGACGUCGUUACGCAUGACUGAACUUGGCACAAAUGAAUGCAGCAGAUUUGUGGCGUUGUAGAUGAUUUGUACCUAGGUGCUCACCCUUUUGGUAAACAACGUGACAUAGACAUUUGUUAGGUUUUUACCCCUUCGCCAUGUAUAUUAUGUUCAGUAAUAAUAUAUGUAGAAAAUCGCAUGUUGCAUUGUACCAAUUUGAUCGAUGUAUUUCUCCUGGGUUCCGAGACUAAAGAACACUUGCAUGCGAGAGAUAGGGAGAGCAGCAACCAUUUUUUAUUUAUUCAAUGGAGAAUCCGAACCUUGGAUUGGUUUGCAUGGGAACCAAUGAGCCCGGCAAUCCUUGCAUACCAAACCCUCCAUUCUAAAUUGAUCUACAUAUAUAUAUUUUUUGAGGUUAUUUCUAAAUGAUCUACAUAUUUGUGUUCAUUCAUUAAGUCUAUUUGUUAUUUGUGUAUUGGAGUAAAUAGACAUUGAUGCAUGUAUCACAGGUAUUUAUAACCCACAUGCAAUAUCUUGAUCUGCUAUUGGCUAGGAAAUAGUGAGGAUGGUGCAUGCAUCGAGUUUGCUGCUAGAGUAAAUAUAGUACGAGAGAGUUAUUAGCUUUUCUUGAUUUUGGUAUACCUAUGAAAUAUGUAGAUCAAUUUGGAAUGGAGGGAGUAAUGAUUACUCUUUCGCUGUCGCUCCUCUUCGUCGAGCCGCUGCCAUCCCUCCCAUGCCGCUGUUGCUGUUGUAGCCACUCCACCUCGUCGAGCCACCGCUGACCGUCCUUUUCAUCUAGCCACCGUUGCGCGGCAGCCGUUGCACAAGGAGGGCGGCGGGAGGAAGUUCCUCUCAGGCCGCCGCCGUCGCUCCCUUCCUCCACAAGCCAGCGUGCCGCUCCCUCCCUCCGUGAGCCAGCGUCGAGCGAAUCUUCUCCCUCUGUGCCUCGCGGCCGCUCCCUCCCUCCACGCACCGCCGUGAACACUCGGCGAGAGAGAGAGAGAGAGGGGAUACGGGGGAGAGAAGGGAAUAGAUAUGGAUAGGGUUUGGUCGAUGAUAUUUUAGUCAUUAAAAAGUAAUUAUAUUGCUUUCUUUUUGUUGAAUGAAAAGUUAACGGUACUAUAGUACUAUAGAAACAGGGCCAAACGGAGCACUCAUUUUUAAAAAGUAUGGUUAAAUAAGCAAACUAUAAAAGGUAAGGUCAUAUUGAUAGUUAAGCUUCAAAACAGGGUCAAAUAAGUAAUUGUCCCUAUUGUGUUUUUGAAUAGCAAGAAAAUAGCGCUAAGUCAAACAUUUUUAACUUUAUUACUAAAAAAAAGAUAAAAAAGAUAAAUCAUAUGAGAAUGGAUAUUACUGGAUUUAUCAUUAAACAAACUACCGUAAGAUGCAAUUUUUUGAAACAUUAUAAUUUUUUAAAUAUUAUUGGUCAUUAUAGUAUCUUGAAGAUUCUAUCAAAGUUUAAAAAUGAUUAUAUUUUGAUACGGAUGGAGUACUAGUUUUGGGUUAUCGCCUGGUAAUAAUCACUUUAGUUAGUACCGGUUUGUUUAAUAACAUUCACAAUUUGUUGUGAAAGCAUUUGAUUGAAUUUAAUUGAGUUGAUGCUGAUGUUGGAUGCGGCAUUAACAGAACAGAAACUGUCAAAUGGAUUAGCUGAAAUUAGGUGCAUAAUUUCUUUCAUAGUUAUUAUUAUACCCUACCACGAAAAGGCGAGUGGGUUUGCUGAAAGAAUAUAGAACAUGUUCUUUUGCGAAUUCUAGGCAGGCAAAAACGGAAAUUGCAAAUGGAUAAGCAAAAUAAAAAAAGCCAUUUAGGCUGCUUCCGUUUGGGAGUGUUGGGAAUCCUUCUCUUCUUGCAAGUAAAAUGUAGCGAUGGAUUAGUCAAUAUUAGCUAAAAAAUCUUAAAGAAAUAUAUUAAUAUAAUUUUAAAGUAAUUUUUGUAACAAUUCUUUUACAAAACACAUAUCGUUUUAACUGUUUGGAAAGUGUGUGCAUGAAAAACGAGAGUGAAAGUUAAGAAAGUGUCUAAAGGAUCAUACAUCACCCAAGAAUCUUGGGACCAUUGAACAACACGCAUGUAAAACUUGUGUUUCGAAAGAACCAAUACCCUUUUAACCAAUAAUGUUAUUAACAAUCAUGUGGUGUGCAUUUUAAAAUGUUCAUGUGUUAAGCAUGUGUUGUAACCUACUAAACUUGCAUAUACUUAAUCGUACUUUCUUUCUUUGUCGUGCCUUAAAAAUAAAAAACACAAUAUAAGAUCAACUUUGCCCCUUAUCAUUCUUUUCUACCAUCAUUGUCUUUAACUAAUACUCUGUCUACACCACUGUUGCAUUCCACCUAUCUUUUGCUUAAUUCCUUUGAUUUGUCAUCGUUUUCCUUACUUGUUUUCAGCCAUAAUAUUUAGCGGCCCUCUUUUCUUCGAGGCUACCUACCUUCUGAAGAUGUUGGAAGGCAUUAAUUCAAAUAGCAACUUGAUAAAGCCGUAUAAUCAAUGGCUGGAUGCAGAUAGCCUAUACCCGCAACUUUCAAUGACACUAACUUCUUUAGGAUUGGAGGCAUUAAGCAUAAAAAGAUCAAUAACAUGACAAGUCUGAAAUUCGACGGUUUGAGUGGAUAACCUUGGAAACUACGACCAUUGAACAUCGAAGUUGGAACCAGUAUGCGUGUGGCUGACGACCCUAUAGUAGUAUUCGUCUAAUGUUGAUUCAAGUCUAUAUGUGAAGUGGAUAUCGCUGUGUUUGACGAGUUCUAGCAUGAGUAAUUUUCUUUGUUGAUGAUUACCAAUCUUCUGCAAUGCAAUGCUAUUUUCAUCUCGUUUGGCCUGUCGAACGUGUGCCAAACAAAGUCUAUCAUUCACCGAUAUUUUCUUCUAUGCUAAUCGAAACACUUACGUCUAUGCUGACUCCUCUUAUGUUCAAGUGGAUAAACUCAUCUUUCUAGACAUAGAGUGAAGAUGGCACCAUAUAACACUAUGACUUUUAACUUCACUAGUGAGGUCAUAAUGUUAUAAUGCAAUAGAAGGAAUUGUAACGUACCACGUAGGCGAUAAUGUGAAACGUAGAAUGUAUUCUUUACAACGGGUUGGGACUUGGGAGCCCUUCCUUUUCAAAACACAAAACAGAGCAACAUAUUAGCACACGAGUAAUUAAAUAUCAACUUAAAAACUUAUUAAAUGGAUUAGUAUAAUUUUUUAAAUUAACUUUCUUAUAGAAUAUUUUUUCUUUUGCAAAAACACGAAGUUUAGUAGUUCGGGAAGCGUACGCGCGGGAAAUGAGAGAUUAGAAGUUGGAAAAGGCAAGAAAAUAACACACCUUUACAUAAAAUUUAAUAGUACAACCAAUUGUUGGCUCCAAAAUUAUUCACACCAAGAAUAGCUAUUGUCGACGGAUAAUACCCGUAGACCGUAUUCCGAGGGUAUUGGGGUACACUGGAGCAAGGAUCUACACGAUAUGACAUCAAUCACAUAGAAGACAAAGAUUAUACUGGUUCAGACCCAUCAUAAGGUAAUAGUCCUAAUCCAGAUUUUAUGGACCGUGAAGAAAACUACAAAGAUUACAAUAGAGAACAACAAAACUGUAGAGUACCAAAUAGAUUGUUGUCGAGAUCAACUCGACGAGAUCGAUCGGCGACUAGGUCUUCUAGUCUUGCGGAUUGCUUCUACUAUGGUUAGUGGUGAAAUUAUGAUUCAAUGACCCCGUACCCUCUAGAGGUCUU